RNAcentral lists this ribosomal RNA (2181 nucleotides) under Triticum aestivum (bread wheat). RNAcentral's name for it is "partial small subunit ribosomal RNA". Lineage: Eukaryota; Viridiplantae; Streptophyta; Magnoliopsida; Poales; Poaceae. The record is from RNAcentral.
UUUUUUUGAGAGCGCUGGAGUGGGGGUGGGGAGACACCUGGAGGAGAGGGGUGCUAUAGGAGGGGCGGCGGUGGUGGGUGCGGGCGGUCAAGGAGCGGCCGGUGCGGGAGGCGGCGCGGGAGGGGAGAGGUCGAAGGAGCGCGCGCUAGGAGGGGCGCCGGAGGUCGGCGGAGGAGAGGCAGUGGCGGAGGUGGGUCGUCUUGUGGCGGCUGUGGCGGUAGCUGGAGAGGUUGCUGCUCUCGGCGGCGGCGGAGCAGUUGUCAGACUACAUGUCCUCGUUCGUCUCCCCGAAGGACCUCGACCUGGACCACGAGCCCUGGACCCGCCUCGUCGUGCAGGCGAGGUACCUGCUCCGGUUGCAGGCGAGGGACGAGGUCUAGGAGCUGGAGCACUCGAUAGGACGGGACGGGGACGGGGAGGGGGAGGGGGAAAAUAACUGACUAGAUCGAUGAGUAGACUAACAAAAAGACAGAAUGAUACCAUAGAUAUUGUAUGAAGUCUGAUUUUUUAAGUCGAUCAUCCCUAUGAGAACCAAAGAAACAGGACCUAAAUAGUGAAGUCGGAUACACACAGUGCGAACUGGGUCAGUUUAACCAGGGCUUGGUGGGGGGUGGUCAAAUAGACAUUACAUGACCUUUUAAACAAUUACCCUUACAAGUCACAAUACACCACAUACGACGUUCAUAGCCUAAAUCAAACUACAGGUAGUCAGCGAAGCGUUCUUAACUGAUCUGUUUGUGGAUAUAAUGUAGAGUACAAGUCCCAAAUCACAGUCUCUAGAACGGACACAAGGUCGGUUAGUAAGAGCUUUCGUGUACCCAUAAUUGUUACAACAAGGAGAUAUCACGAUCGAUAGACUAAAACGACAUUUAGUAACGUAUUGGAUCAACACAAUCUAAACAGGUAGGGAAUACUAUUGUCAUACAUCUUAGUGGUCGACUUGCACUUCCGGAGACGUUGCACGACGACAAAAAAGAACCUCAAGAACCUCAGAGACCUCACGCAAGAACUCGAAAAACCGGAAAGCCCUUGACGACCUGUGAUGUUGCGGUGCCGGUGUUGUCUCGCUCGACGUGCUUAGCUAAGUGGUGUCACUCCGUAUCUGGUUUUGGAUCGAACGAAGUGGCUAAGCGCCGCCGCCCCUGCCACUGGCCGCACCCCGGCACCCACGUACAGCUGGCCGCGACGACGACGCGGCGACCACCCACCGGUCAGCCGCCAGUAGGAGUGUAGGACAACCUCCGAACCUCGAGAGCGGAGACUGAGCUCCAGACUCGGAGAGCCGGAGAGCGGAGAAAUACAACUAUUGGCCUCAUCAGGAUCACAUUUAACUCGAUCGAGAUCACAAUUACGCAUACAUAUAAUGACCAACGAGAACGACGCGACAGUCCACUUUCGUCAAGAGGACAUUAGGGCUCAAAGUCAGUAUACCAAGACUUGAAGACUAUAAUCGUAUAUGCGAAAGAAGACUUGACCCACCUACAACCAACCGUAUAUCAUACUCAUCAAGAAUAGAAGGAAAAAUUUAAGGAAACUUCACCACGAGACAUGACUGAUUACUACUAUGAUCAAUAAACGAUGACGAGGAUUACGAGAUCAUCUUCUCCGACGACUUCCCGUGUGAGUUCUUGUCCCCUGACGAGGUCUUGUUCUUCGUACACGUUCAGACCACAUCUGUUUGUUCUGUAGACCUGCUCUUCUUUUUCUUCACGUUCCGACCAUUCCAGCUCUGAGUAGAACUUAAGGGACCUGCACUUUUCCAAUUUAAACCACUUCAACAGCUUUGAGGUGGUUUCAAUAGUAAGGGUUUCUCCACUAGCUGCGACUGUUCGCGCCGGGCCACCGCGACACGAGAAGUUGGUGAGUCUCCGCCUGAAGCGGCACUUCGGGCCACCGGUGCAGCGUGUCUACUAGCAGGUCCACUAAAGCUGCGGCCUCCAGUGGCUACACCUCCUGGAGCUGCGGUGGCAGGCGCUCUCCCUCCUAAGCACAGGUGGCCGCAGACUUGAGGAUCGGAAUAUCUAUGUAGAUCUCUCCACCAGACAAAUCCAACCACCAUCUGGUGAUCCCUUCCAUGGGUGGAAUGCUACUACCAACGCACACAGACUACAAUUUACCUUAGAACUCUACCAAGACACUCAACCAAACCAAACGUGACCUGCAUAAUGGUAAGUAUUCAUG